RNAcentral lists this ribosomal RNA (460 nucleotides) under uncultured bacterium. RNAcentral describes it as "partial 16S ribosomal RNA". It matches the Rfam family "Bacterial small subunit ribosomal RNA", at positions 338 to 795 of the family's 1533-position model. The record is from RNAcentral.
CCUACGGGUGGCAGCAGUGAGGAAUAUUGGUCAAUGGACGAGAGUCUGAACCAGCCAAGUAGCGUGAAGGAUGACUGCCCUAUGGGUUGUAAACUUCUUUUAUAUGGGAAUAAAAUGUUCCACGUGUGGGAUUUUGUAUGUACCAUAUGAAUAAGGAUCGGCUAAAUCAGUGCCAGCAGCCGCGGUAAUACGGAGGAUCCGAGCGUUAUCCGGAUUUAUUGGGUUUAAAGGGAGCGUAGGUGGAUUGUUAAGUCAGUUGUGAAAGUUUGAGGCUCAACCGUAAAAUUGCAGUUGAAACUGGCAGUCUUGAGUACAGUAGAGGUGGGCGGAAUUCGUGGUGUAGCGGUGAAAUGCUUAGAUAUCACGAAGAACUCCGAUUGCGAAGGCAGUUCACUGGACUGCAACUGACACUGAGGCUCGAAAGUGUGGGUAUCAAACAGGAUUAGAUACCCGAGUAGUC